RNAcentral lists this ribosomal RNA (493 nucleotides) under uncultured bacterium. RNAcentral describes it as "partial 16S ribosomal RNA". It matches the Rfam family "Bacterial small subunit ribosomal RNA", at positions 30 to 523 of the family's 1533-position model. The record is from RNAcentral.
AUUGAACGCUGGCGGCAUGCUUUACACAUGCAAGUCGAACGGUAACAGGUUAAGCUGACGAGUGGCGAACGGGUGAGUAAUGCAUCGGAACGUGCCCGAUCGUGGGGGAUAACGCAGCGAAAGCUGCGCUAAUACCGCAUACGAUCUGAGGAUGAAAGCGGGGGACCGUAAGGCCUCGCGCGAUCGGAGCGGCCGAUGUCAGAUUAGGUAGUUGGUGGGGUAAAGGCUCACCAAGCCGACGAUCUGUAGCUGGUCUGAGAGGACGACCAGCCACACUGGGACUGAGACACGGCCCAGUCUCCUACGGGAGGCAGCAGUGGGGAAUUUUGGACAAUGGGCGCAAGCCUGAUCCAGCAAUGCCGCGUGCAGGAAGAAGGCCUUCGGGUUGUAAACUGCUUUUGUACGGAGCGAAAAGGCUCUCUCUAAUAUAGGGGGUUCAUGACGGUACCGUAAGAAUAAGCACCGGCUAACUACGUGCCAGCCGCCGCGGUAA